AACAUCGCCUCCUGCAAAAAUCAAUGUAUAGGAGGUCCUGCCUGCCCAGUGACAACUUGUUAAACGGCCGCGGUAUUUUGACCGUGCUAAGGUAGCGCAAUCACUUGUCUUUUAAAUGAAGACCUGUAUGAAUGGUGGAACGAGGGCUUAACUGUCUCCCUUCUCCCGUCAAUGAAAUUGAUCUGCCCGUGCAGAAGCGGACAUAUAUAUACAAGACGAGAAGACCCUUUGGAGCUUAUUGGGGCGACCGCGGGGGAAAAUAAAGCCCCCACGUAAAACCGAGAGAGACAUCUCUAAGCCACAGAAUAUCUGACCAAAAGAUCCGGCCCACAAGCCGAUCAACGAACCAAGUUACCCUAGGGAUAACAGCGCAAUCCUUUCCAAGAGUCCAUAUCGACGAAAGGGUUUACGACCUCGAUGUUGGAUCAGGACAUCCUAAUGGUGCAGCCGCUAUUAAGGGUUCGUUUGUUCAACGAUUAAAGUCCUACGUGAUCU
RNAcentral lists this ribosomal RNA (495 nucleotides) under Cyphocharax saladensis. Its description in RNAcentral is "partial 16S ribosomal RNA". It matches the Rfam family "Bacterial large subunit ribosomal RNA", at positions 1812 to 2606 of the family's 2925-position model. The record is from RNAcentral. Lineage: Eukaryota; Metazoa; Chordata; Actinopteri; Characiformes; Curimatidae.